This 225-nucleotide long non-coding RNA is filed under the name Fukomys damarensis (Damara mole-rat). RNAcentral describes it as "lncRNA (ENSFDAG00000027950.1)". Lineage: Eukaryota; Metazoa; Chordata; Mammalia; Rodentia; Bathyergidae. The record is from RNAcentral.
CGGCUGGGUCCAGGCAUCUGUCAUGCUUUCCACAGAGUCAGAGUGCUUCCUACUGCUACAGUCACAGGCAGGAAAGUGACUCACGUGUGCCUGACAAUUUCACUGAGGGAAUUGCUCAUAUCCUUUAGCACACAGCAAGACACUUCCUGGCACCCAGAAGGCUGCGUGAAGGCCAGGCUGUCAGACAAAGGAUGGACAUGCUAUCGCGAGAGAUAAGAGCUCCAC